RNAcentral lists this ribosomal RNA (252 nucleotides) under uncultured bacterium. Its description in RNAcentral is "partial 16S ribosomal RNA". It matches the Rfam family "Bacterial small subunit ribosomal RNA", at positions 524 to 776 of the family's 1533-position model. The record is from RNAcentral.
UACGUAGGGGGCUAGCGUUAUCUGGAAUUACUGGGCGUAAAGGGUGCGUAGGUGGUUUCUUAAGUCAGAGGUGAAAGGCUACGGCUCAACCGUAGUAAGCCUUUGAAACUGGGGAACUUGAGUACAGGAGAGGAGAGUGGAAUUCCUAGUGUAGCGGUGAAAUGCGUAGAUAUUAGGAGGAACACCAGUUGCGAAGGCGGCUCUCUGGACUGUAACUGACACUGAGGCACGAAAGCGUGGGGAGCAAACAGG